GUUUUUCGCUUGAGGAUGAGCCCAUACGGGAUUAGCUAGUUGGUGAGGUAAUGGCUCACCAAGGCUACGAUCCCUAACUGGUCUUAGAGGAUGAUCAGUCACACUGGAACUGAGACACGGUCCAGACUCCUACGGGAGGCAGCAGUAGGGAAUAUUGCACAAUGGAGGAAACUCUGAUGCAGCGACGCCGCGUGAGUGAUGAAGGCCUUCGGGUCGUAAAGCUCUGUCGCAGGGGAAUAACACAAUG
RNAcentral lists this ribosomal RNA (247 nucleotides) under uncultured Bdellovibrio sp. RNAcentral's name for it is "partial 16S ribosomal RNA". It matches the Rfam family "Bacterial small subunit ribosomal RNA", at positions 210 to 456 of the family's 1533-position model. The record is from RNAcentral. Lineage: Bacteria; Pseudomonadati; Bdellovibrionota; Bdellovibrionia; Bdellovibrionales; Pseudobdellovibrionaceae.